CCUACGGGGGGCAGCAGUGGGGAAUAUUGGGCAAUGGGCGCAAGCCUUACCCAGCAAUACCGCGUGAGUGAAGAAGGUCUUCGGAUUGUAAAGCUCUUUGAGCAGGGAAGAACAGAUGACGGUACCUGAAGAACAAGCCCCGGCUAACUACGUGCCAGCAGCCGCGGUAAAACGGAAGGGGCGAGCGUUGUCCGGAAUGAAUGGGCGUUAAGGGUGGGUAGGCGGGAUAAGAAGUUAGAAGUGAAAUACCCGGAGCUUAACUCGGGGGCUGCUCCUGAGACUGUUUAGCUUGAGUGCGGGAGAGGUAGGUGGAAUUCCUAGUGUAGCGGUGGAAUGCGUAGAUAUUAGGAGGAACACCAGAGGCGAAGGCGAUUAACUGGACCGUAACUGACGCUGAGGCACGAAAGUGUGGGUAGCAAACAGGAUUAGAUACCCUAGUAGUC
This 443-nucleotide ribosomal RNA is filed under the name uncultured bacterium. Its description in RNAcentral is "partial 16S ribosomal RNA". It matches the Rfam family "Bacterial small subunit ribosomal RNA", at positions 338 to 795 of the family's 1533-position model. The record is from RNAcentral.